This 311-nucleotide ribosomal RNA is filed under the name uncultured Glomus. Its description in RNAcentral is "SSU rRNA". It matches the Rfam family "Eukaryotic small subunit ribosomal RNA", at positions 569 to 888 of the family's 1831-position model. The record is from RNAcentral. Lineage: Eukaryota; Fungi; Glomeromycota; Glomeromycetes; Glomerales; Glomeraceae.
AGCAGCCGCGGUAAUUCCAGCUCCAAUAGCGUAUAUUAAAGUUGUUGCAGUUAAAAAGCUCGUAGUUGAAUUUCGGGAUCAAUUAAUCGGUCGUGCCUCUGGUACGCACUGGUUUUAUUGGUUUCUCCCUUCUGACGAACCAGGAUGUCAUUAAUUUGGUGUCUUGGAGAAUCAGGACUGUUACUUUGAAAAAUUGAAGUGUUUAAAGCAGGCUAACGCUUGAAUACAUUAGCAUGGAAUAAUGAAGUAGGACGUUUGAUCCUAUUUUGUGUUCUAGGAUCGACGUAAUGAUUAAUAGGGAUAGUUGGGGG